Long non-coding RNA from Acanthochromis polyacanthus (spiny chromis), 2027 nucleotides. RefSeq lists it as uncharacterized. The record is from RefSeq and is a predicted model, not a curated record. NCBI's taxonomy places the organism in Eukaryota, Metazoa, Chordata, Actinopteri, Pomacentridae. The transcript has 3 exons.
GGGCGCGUGGUGCUUUGAGGAUCAGUAGCUGACGCCGUAGAAGAAGCCUAGUCAGUACAGUGAUCUGAGUAAUGUCACAACAUCGAGCGCCUGUAGUAACGUUAAUUUGCAUCUUUUUGCAGUUCCUGCAAAAUAAAUGUGUUGCACCAGGAAGAGUUGGCCCAUCUUUCUCAGCCGUGUAACAGAAGCUCUGGACCUGUAUCUGCAGGACUUCACGUUGCACUGCUGCCACAUGUCUGAUUGAAUCAUUAAAUGGACGAGCAAACCUUCAACAAAAGUGCUCAUUUCAAGGAACACAAAUGGCAAUGCCUGGAGUUGAUGCACCGCGAGUAGCAGAGGAGUAAAGAAGUAAGUCAACAGAAACUCAUUUCAAGACAGGACAUAUUUUUCCUUCUGCAGGGAUGAAAUACCAGAGAAUGAAGACCAAACAUGCAAACACAGAAAUGCUGCUGUCAUUACACAGCCUGGACUGGACAGGAAGUGUUAUUACCUACUCUGAAUUUCCUGUCAUGAAACUGUUUUACUGUGUUUUUAGUCAUGAUGCACUCAUGAGUAUUGACUCUAAACUCUGAGAACCCACUAGAACACUACAUAUAUGGAUGGACUACUGAUGGAGCUGACCAGGCCUGGGGGCCAGGAGUUUAUUGGGCUCCUGAACCAGAGUCUCUAUGAAGUGAGUGUUAGCAUUUCUUAUUGGAAAAUCACUCAAAUGAAGUGACACAGACCCUCUGCAAACACCCUCAAAAUGAAUAGAAAGACACAAACACAGACAGCGACUAGUAUGAAGACAGAGACAAAAAGACACAAAAUGAUUUAAAAGAGACACAAACUGCAAUCAGAAGAAACAGCUACAAUACUAAAAACAAAUAGAAAGAGGCAAAAAUGACUACUAACAUGACGACAAAGACACAAAAUGUGUUUGUAGCCAAAAGAGAUGCCAGACAGCCACUACAGGGACGAAUCAUGACCCGCAGCAGUCACAAAACAACCACAGAGGGACACCAAAAAAAGCAAAGACUAACUAAAAUAUUCCAGCAAGCCAUCUAAUCAACUGGAUGUCUCACAUGGCCAUCCAGAGACUUUACACAGUCUCUCUUUUGACUUUCAAUUUAUGCAUGAGACACUGCAAAACCACGUCGUGUAAAGCAGCCUUAACUAAGACGGAGUUACAGAAGACAUGGACUGCAGCUGAACUGGAAACUCUAAGCUGCCUGUUAGUGUGUUCAUUUGUCUGUGUGGCUGAACCGUUCUAACUGCUCAUCCAAUGACUGCUUUGUUGGGAAUUCACCAUUUCAAGGUUUCUCCCAGCAUGCAACAGUGUACAGCUGCAGGAGCGUGGGAAGAAAUAUGAAUGAAAAAUGAUCAAAAGCAUCAAGAACAGCACCACAAAGCAAAGGAAAAUCAAUGCUGAAAUGUAUUGUGACAUAACUAUGAACAAAUGUUUAUAUUUGCUUUUAAAUACCUCAUGGAUCAUGACUGUCUGAAGUUUUUAGUGACUCCUACAACUCUAUUUUAUCAACUGUGUGUUCGUCAUAGAAAACAAUCAUUUAUUCUUCCAUAAAAUUUAACACGUCUUCUGGGAAUUUGACAAAAUCUGCUCCAUAUACAGCCAUGCUCAUAUUUGGUUAAAUGUCCUUUAACCAUUUUUACCUCAUAUUGGUGCUUUUGGUAGCCAACCACAAUCUUCUAGCAAAAGUUCUGGUUGUAUCUUUGAUGUCUCAGCUUCAACUUGUUUUUACACCUGUCCACAGGUUCUUAAUGGGGUAUAAGUCAGGAUAUUGGGGGAACAGUCUAAAACCUUACUUCUAGCCUGAUUUUGCCAUUUUUCACCACUUCUGAUGUGUCUAUGGGGUCAUUGUCUUGUUUGAACAUCCAACUGUGUCCAAGAUCAACCUUCUGGCUGAUGAUUUUAGGUUUUCCAGAAGAAUGUGGAGGUUACCCAUCCUCUUUAUUAUUCCAUUGAGUUUGUGUAAAGCACCAGUUUCACCAGCAGCAGAACAGCCCCACAGCAUCAUACUACCACCACA